This 511-nucleotide ribosomal RNA is filed under the name Mycolicibacterium fortuitum. RNAcentral's name for it is "bacterial SSU rRNA". It matches the Rfam family "Bacterial small subunit ribosomal RNA", at positions 52 to 580 of the family's 1533-position model. Lineage: Bacteria; Bacillati; Actinomycetota; Actinomycetes; Mycobacteriales; Mycobacteriaceae. The record is from RNAcentral.
CACAUGCAAGUCGAACGGAAAGGCCCUUCGGGGUACUCGAGUGGCGAACGGGUGAGUAACACGUGGGUGAUCUGCCCUGCACUUUGGGAUAAGCCUGGGAAACUGGGUCUAAUACCGGAUAGGACCACGCGCUUCAUGGUGUGUGGUGGAAAGCUUUUGCGGUGUGGGAUGGGCCCGCGGCCUAUCAGCUUGUUGGUGGGGUAAUGGCCUACCAAGGCGACGACGGGUAGCCGGCCUGAGAGGGUGACCGGCCACACUGGGACUGAGAUACGGCCCAGACUCCUACGGGAGGCAGCAGUGGGGAAUAUUGCACAAUGGGCGCAAGCCUGAUGCAGCGACGCCGCGUGAGGGAUGACGGCCUUCGGGUUGUAAACCUCUUUCAAUAGGGACGAAGCGCAAGUGACGGUACCUAUAGAAGAAGGACCGGCCAACUACGUGCCAGCAGCCGCGGUAAUACGUAGGGUCCGAGCGUUGUCCGGAAUUACUGGGCGUAAAGAGCUCGUAGGUGGUU